GGGCAGGUGAUCCGAUUGGUAAUGGUGGUUUUCUGUAAAAAAAUUGGUUUAUACCGUAAAAGGUUCGAUUCCUUUACUGCUCA
This 83-nucleotide transfer RNA is filed under the name Ganoderma lucidum. RNAcentral's name for it is "tRNA-Tyr". It matches the Rfam family "tRNA". Rfam says of the family: Transfer RNA (tRNA) molecules are approximately 80 nucleotides in length. The record is from RNAcentral. RNAcentral also lists the same sequence under 37 other names. Lineage: Eukaryota; Fungi; Basidiomycota; Agaricomycetes; Polyporales; Polyporaceae.